RNAcentral lists this ribosomal RNA (492 nucleotides) under uncultured bacterium. RNAcentral describes it as "partial 16S ribosomal RNA". It matches the Rfam family "Bacterial small subunit ribosomal RNA", at positions 29 to 507 of the family's 1533-position model. The record is from RNAcentral.
AGUGAACGCUGGCGGUAGGCCUAACACAUGCAAGUCGAACGGCAGCACAGUAAGAGCUUGCUCUUACGGGUGGCGAGUGGCGGACGGGUGAGGAAUACAUCGGAAUCUACUUUUUCGUGGGGGAUAACGUAGGGAAACUUACGCUAAUACCGCAUACGACCUACGGGUGAAAGCAGGGGAUCUUCGGACCUUGCGCGAUUGAAUGAGCCGAUGUCGGAUUAGCUAGUUGGCGGGGGAAAGGCCCACCAAGGCGACGAUCCGUAGCUGGUCUGAGAGGAUGAUCAGCCACACUGGAACUGAGACACGGUCCAGACCCCUACGGGAGGCAGCAGUGGGGAAUAUUGGACAAUGGGCGCAAGCCUGAUCCAGCCAUACCGCGUGGGUGAAGAAGGCCUUCGGGUUGUAAAGCCCUUUUGUUGGGAAAGAAAAGCAGCAGGUUAAUACCCCGCUGUUCUGACGGUACCCAAAGAAUAAGCACCGGCUAACUUCGUG